CGCAUGUGGGACCUCCUUGGUGACAUCCUCUACCCCUAGCAUGUUGGAUCGGUCGCUCCCAGGAGAAUAGGAAAGCCACGCCUUUAGGUGGUUACACUGCAUUCUCCCGUCUCGGAAGAGAAAGUGGAGUCUUGGACUCAAUAACAAGGCAGAAAAAUCCAUGUUUCUCAGGGGGCAGUGGUGGCUGGGAGGGGCUUUAACCCCAGUGCCGCUCUGCACGGCGGAGAAUCGGAGCGUGGAGCCAGGGCUCACCUGCCCCAGCGCGGCCGGUCACGGCCCGCCUUUGGUCAUCCUGCCCACCGGCUUGUGACGCCCAGAGCCAGACUGUGGCCGGGAAGGAGAGACAAGGUCCGGCGCCCACUGGGAGCCUUGGAACUUAUGCCCCUCCGAUAUCAGGGGACAACUGUAUCUCCUAAUCAAGAAGUAUUUUGUAGAAAAGAAGAGGAAGCUUGAAGAAGGGAAAUAAUUUGUCUACAGCCACCCAAGUGCCAAAGAGCAGAG
Molecule: long non-coding RNA, 501 nt
Filed under: Heterocephalus glaber (naked mole-rat)
Lineage: Eukaryota; Metazoa; Chordata; Mammalia; Rodentia; Bathyergidae
Description: lncRNA (ENSHGLG00100050262.1)
Source: RNAcentral